RNAcentral lists this ribosomal RNA (254 nucleotides) under uncultured bacterium. RNAcentral's name for it is "partial 16S ribosomal RNA". It matches the Rfam family "Bacterial small subunit ribosomal RNA", at positions 524 to 776 of the family's 1533-position model. The record is from RNAcentral.
UACAGAGGGUGCAAGCGUUGUUCGGAAUUACUGGGCGUAAAGGGCGCGUAGGCGGUCUUCUAAGUCUUGUGUGAAAUCCCUCGGCUCAACUGAGGAACUGCACGGGAUACUGGAUGACUUGAGUUCGGGAGAGGGAAGCGGAAUUCCGGGUGUAGCGGUGAAAUGCGUAGAUAUCCGGAGGAACACCGGUGGCGAAGGCGGCUUCCUGGACCGAUUACUGACGCUGAGGCGCGAAAGCUAGGGGAGCAAACGGG